UGMAGUCGAGCGAAUGGAUUAAGAGCUUGUUUAUGAAGUUAGCGGCGGACGGGUGAGUAACACGUGGGYAACCUGCCCAUAAGACUGGGAUAACUCCGGGAAACCGGGGCUAAUACCGGAUAACAUUUUGAACCGCAUGGUUCGAAAUUGAAAGGCGGCUUCGGCUGUCACUUAUGGAUGGACCCGCGUCGCAUUAGCUAGUUGGUGAGGUAACGGCUCACCAAGGCAACGAUGCGUAGCCGACCUGAGAGGGUGAUCGGCCACACUGGGACUGAGACACGGCCCAGACUCCUACGGGAGGCAGCAGUAGGGAAUCUUCCGCAAUGGACGAAAGUCUGACGGAGCAACGCCGCGUGAGUGAUGAAGGCUUUCGGGUCGUAAAACUCUGUUGUUAGGGAAGAACAAGUGCUAGUUGAAUAAGCUGGCACCUUGACGGUACCUAACCAGAAAGCCACGGCUAACUACGUGCCAGCAG
Molecule: ribosomal RNA, 475 nt
Filed under: Bacillus cereus
Lineage: Bacteria; Bacillati; Bacillota; Bacilli; Caryophanales; Bacillaceae
Description: bacterial SSU rRNA
Rfam family: Bacterial small subunit ribosomal RNA
Source: RNAcentral